Molecule: transfer RNA, 70 nt
Filed under: Betta smaragdina (blue betta)
Lineage: Eukaryota; Metazoa; Chordata; Actinopteri; Anabantiformes; Osphronemidae
Also listed under: 1 other name
Description: tRNA-Tyr
Rfam family: tRNA
About the family: Transfer RNA (tRNA) molecules are approximately 80 nucleotides in length. Their secondary structure includes four short double-helical elements and three loops (D, anti-codon, and T loops). Further hydrogen bonds mediate the characteristic L-shaped molecular structure. tRNAs have two regions of fundamental functional importance: the anti-codon, which is responsible for specific mRNA codon recognition, and the 3' end, to which the tRNAs corresponding amino acid is attached (by aminoacyl-tRNA synthetases). tRNAs cope with the degeneracy of the genetic code in two manners: having more than one tRNA (with a specific anti-codon) for a particular amino acid; and 'wobble' base-pairing, i.e. permitting non-standard base-pairing at the 3rd anti-codon position.
Source: RNAcentral
GGUAGGAUGGCCGAGACUUAGGCGGUGGAUUGUAGCCCCACGAACAGAGGUUCAAAUCCUCUUCUUACCA